This 466-nucleotide ribosomal RNA is filed under the name uncultured bacterium. Its description in RNAcentral is "partial 16S ribosomal RNA". It matches the Rfam family "Bacterial small subunit ribosomal RNA", at positions 28 to 507 of the family's 1533-position model. The record is from RNAcentral.
GACGAACGCUGGCGGCGUGCUUAACACAUGCAAGUCGAACGGAAAGGCCAGUGCUUGCACUGGUACUCGAGUGGCGAACGGGUGAGUAACACGUGGGUGAUCUGCCUUGCACUCUGGGAUAAGCUUGGGAAACUGGGUCUAAUACCGGAUAUGAACUGCCUUUAGUGUGGUGGUUGGAAAGUUUUUUCGGUGCAAGAUGAGCUCGCGGCCUAUCAGCUUGUUGGUGGGGUAAUGGCCUACCAAGGCGUCGACGGGUAGCCGGCCUGAGAGGGUGUACGGCCAACUUUGGACCGAGGUACGGGCCAGACUUCCUACGGGGGCAAGCGGGGGGGAAAAUUCAAAAAUGGCGGAAGCCUGAUGCAGCGACGCCGCGUGGGGGAUGACGGCCUUCGGGUUGUAAACUCCUUUCGACAGGGACGAAGCGUAAGUGACGGUACCUGUAGAAGAAGCACCGGCUAACUACGUG